GUGCGAGACCGAUAGCGAACAAGUACCGUGAGGGAAAGAUGAAAAGAACUUUGAAAAGAGAGUUAAAGAGUACCUGAAACUGCUGAAAGGGAAGCGAAUCGUAUCCAGUGUCUAUAAUCUGCGGCAUAUUUCAUUGGCGGCGGUGCGCGUGCUUUUGCGUCGGAAGCGGCUUUUGUUGCUCUGUGCUUUUGCUGUGCGUGGUGUUGCUGGUGCCCUGUGUUGCGAUGGGACGUCAGAGUCAGUUUGUAUGCUGCGGGAAAUGGCUGCCGAGGAGGUAGGUCGAGAUUUCGGUCUUGGCUGUUAUAUCUUGGUGGUUUGUUGUCGUGGUUGAGACUGAGGUGCCUACAAUGUGCUUUUGAGUGUACCGGGCUCUCAUUUGGUGGACUGUUUGGAUAGCUUGCUAUGCUUGUGGUUUUUUCAUCGGGUGAUUGAGUCUGGUGGUAACUUGUUGCUGUUCGGGACUUUGAA
RNAcentral lists this ribosomal RNA (468 nucleotides) under uncultured Oomycota. RNAcentral describes it as "LSU rRNA". It matches the Rfam family "Eukaryotic large subunit ribosomal RNA", at positions 326 to 630 of the family's 3401-position model. The record is from RNAcentral. Lineage: Eukaryota; Oomycota.